Molecule: regulatory RNA element, 54 nt
Organism: Wenxinia marina DSM 24838
Lineage: Bacteria; Pseudomonadati; Pseudomonadota; Alphaproteobacteria; Rhodobacterales; Roseobacteraceae
Rfam family: COG3860 RNA
Source: Rfam
GGGUCCGCAGUUCACCCAGGCGUCGCCGGCCGCAGGGCCAAGCUGAACCUGCCG